UUGCAUCAUUUCCAUUCAUUAUAUGUGGA
RNAcentral lists this non-coding RNA (29 nucleotides) under Rattus norvegicus (Norway rat). The record is from RNAcentral. Lineage: Eukaryota; Metazoa; Chordata; Mammalia; Rodentia; Muridae.